AGAGUUUGAUCAUGGCUCAGAUUGAACGCUGGCGGCAGGCCUAACACAUGCAAGUCGAGCGGAAACGAGUUGUCUGAACCUUCGGGGAACGAUAACGGCGUCGAGCGGCGGACGGGUGAGUAAUGCCUAGGAAAUUGCCCUGAUGUGGGGGAUAACCAUUGGAAACGAUGGCUAAUACCGCAUGAUGCCUACGGGCCAAAGAGGGGGACCUUCGGGCCUCUCGCGUCAGGAUAUGCCUAGGUGGGAUUAGCUAGUUGGUGAGGUAAGGGCUCACCAAGGCGACGAUCCCUAGCUGGUCUGAGAGGAUGAUCAGCCACACUGGAACUGAGACACGGUCCAGACUCCUACGGGAGGCAGCAGUGGGGAAUAUUGCACAAUGGGCGCAAGCCUGAUGCAGCCAUGCCGCGUGUGUGAAGAAGGCCUUCGGGUUGUAAAGCACUUUCAGUCGUGAGGAAGGUAGUGUAGUUAAUAGCUGCAUUAUUUGACGUUAGCGACAGAAGAAGCACCGGCUAACUCCGUGCCAGCAGCCGCGGUAAUACGGAGGGUGCGAGCGUUAAUCGGAAUUACUGGGCGUAAAGCGCAUGCAGGUGGUUUGUUAAGUCAGAUGUGAAAGCCCGGGGCUCAACCUCGGAAUUGCAUUUGAAACUGGCAGACUAGAGUACUGUAGAGGGGGGUAGAAUUUCAGGUGUAGCGGUGAAAUGCGUAGAGAUCUGAAGGAAUACCGGUGGCGAAGGCGGCCCCCUGGACAGAUACUGACACUCAGAUGCGAAAGCGUGGGGAGCAAACAGGAUUAGAUACCCUGGUAGUCCACGCCGUAAACGAUGUCUACUUGGAGGUUGUGGCCUUGAGCCGUGGCUUUCGGAGCUAACGCGUUAAGUAGACCGCCUGGGGAGUACGGUCGCAAGAUUAAAACUCAAAUGAAUUGACGGGGGCCCGCACAAGCGGUGGAGCAUGUGGUUUAAUUCGAUGCAACGCGAAGAACCUUACCUACUCUUGACAUCCAGAGAACUUUCCAGAGAUGGAUUGGUGCCUUCGGGAACUCUGAGACAGGUGCUGCAUGGCUGUCGUCAGCUCGUGUUGUGAAAUGUUGGGUUAAGUCCCGCAACGAGCGCAACCCUUAUCCUUGUUUGCCAGCGAGUAAUGUCGGGAACUCCAGGGAGACUGCCGGUGAUAAACCGGAGGAAGGUGGGGACGACGUCAAGUCAUCAUGGCCCUUACGAGUAGGGCUACACACGUGCUACAAUGGCGCAUACAGAGGGCAGCCAACUUGCGAAAGUGAGCGAAUCCCAAAAAGUGCGUCGUAGUCCGGAUUGGAGUCUGCAACUCGACUCCAUGAAGUCGGAAUCGCUAGUAAUCGUGGAUCAGAAUGCCACGGUGAAUACGUUCCCGGGCCUUGUACACACC
This 1404-nucleotide ribosomal RNA is filed under the name Vibrio parahaemolyticus VIP4-0443. RNAcentral describes it as "bacterial SSU rRNA". It matches the Rfam family "Bacterial small subunit ribosomal RNA". Lineage: Bacteria; Pseudomonadati; Pseudomonadota; Gammaproteobacteria; Vibrionales; Vibrionaceae. The record is from RNAcentral.